UUUCCGUAGGUGAACCUGCGGAAGGAACAUUAACACGUAUCCACGUAUUAACCAAACGGUAAUUGUAUCUCCCUAAUAAUUGUCUAGCUGUUUAACUGGAUCAUGGUGGGUAUGCAUUCGUGCAUACGAGCCGGUUGAACUCGGGCUUCGAGCUCAGAGCUUUACUCUUUAUUAGGCUUUCUUUUUCAUCAUUACCUUCCCACCUUAAGGUAUGAUGGACUAUAAAAACCUAUUUAACCCUUUUUAAAACAUUUGACUAAUACUAUUCACUUGGAGAAAUCCAAGCCUGAAUUGAGUUAUCUUAACUAAGCACAACUCUUAGCAAUGGAUAUCUUGGUUCUC
This 342-nucleotide unclassified non-coding RNA is filed under the name plant metagenome. RNAcentral's name for it is "partial contains small subunit ribosomal RNA, internal transcribed spacer 1, and 5.8S ribosomal RNA". The record is from RNAcentral.